This is a long non-coding RNA of Dipodomys spectabilis (banner-tailed kangaroo rat), 798 nucleotides long. RefSeq lists it as uncharacterized. The record is from RefSeq and is a predicted model, not a curated record. NCBI's taxonomy places the organism in Eukaryota, Metazoa, Chordata, Mammalia, Rodentia, Heteromyidae. The transcript has 3 exons.
UAUACAUGUGUGUACAUAUAUAUACACAUAUAUAUGUGUAUAUAUAUAUAUAUAUAUUACUAUUUGAUUUGCUCUGUUUCUCUGGAUAGCCAUGAUUAGUUAUAUAGGCACUAAUGGAAAGAACUUCUGACAGACAGAAAGAUCUGGUUUCUGUUGGUUUGAACUGUGUACCAAUCUGCAAACUGAUAACCAGCAUCUCCACAGCUAGGCCUGACCACAUAUAGGGUGUGACAAAGUGCCUAGCCUUCUUUCUACAAUCCAUACCCCCAAAUCAGAUGGGUUACUUUGUCUUCAUAACUUCUUAUCUUUCAAAUAAGAAGUUUACCAACUUCUAGCAAGUUAGUACUCUGAUCUAAGAGGUUGCUUGCUGCACAAAUAGUCAAAUCUUUCAAUAUAACUGUCUUGGGGCAGGGUAGGGGAAGCAUCUACAUGGGUGGUUAAAGCUGCCACUUUUUCUCACUGGACCUCUGUGCAUCUCAGGAAACUCUUUAAAAGGACCAGAGCAAAAGGCAAGACUGUGCAAGGCCAAAGCUGUGCCUCCCAGGUCCCUAGCUGGACUACUAAAGCUGCUCAAGAUUAAGGUAGAUGCUUAUCAUCAGUAGGUGAGAUAGCUUUUGAAAACAUACACAUUCUGUAUGUCUUUGUUUCAAAUUUGUUUUUUAAAAAACUGUAUUCUCUGGCUGUCUCUCAACUAUGUCAUAAAUAGCAUUCAAGAACCUGAAAAGGAUGGUGUGUUUUUAGCUCUCUGCUCCCAUUCCUGAAGAAAGAAGGAAGAAUUUGUGAACAAGAGCAUCUCAC